Molecule: long non-coding RNA, 1691 nt
Filed under: Lupinus angustifolius (narrow-leaved blue lupine)
Lineage: Eukaryota; Viridiplantae; Streptophyta; Magnoliopsida; Fabales; Fabaceae
Description: long non-coding RNA (LANG_LNC000224)
Source: RNAcentral
CCAAAGCAUGAAAAAAUAAUUCACUCCAAUAUGUAACUGACAAUCGACGACAUGAACCUUAGCUAACAUCUGAGGUUAAUCAUAAAAAGCGAUAUUCUAGUGUACGAGGCUCCCACCUAAUGAGGUUGAUUAUAAUUGUAACAAAAAUUCGGUAUCAGUGGUCCACGUCUAGUCCAAGGUCACCCCAGCGUACCUUGUACUUGGCUGCAAGAUAAUGCGCGCCAACAGGACCGCGACUACCAUAUGGAUAGUAUUCUGGGAUUAUCUUUUUCUCUUCUAGCUCAUUCAGUACAGGUGUAAACAAUGACCAAGCAGCAUCGAGUUCAUCACUACGUAUAAAGAGUCUUCUUUCUCCUUCAAUGGCAUCAAGAAGUAGUCUCUCGUAAGCAUCUGGAAUCUCUGUUGAAUAUCUGAAAUAAACAUGAAAUGUUUGCUUUAAUGGCAAAAGAAAAUGUUCAAUACAAAAUGGAGUAUUUUUAAUAUGGCAAAUGGAGUUUUACAAGCAGGAAAAAUGUUGUAUUUCAUUAACGGGGCAAGAAAAAACAUUUACAUUCCCGAAGUGGCAAACGUAUGUAAUAUAUAAGAGUAGAUCGAUGUUAAAUUUUGCAAAGCCCAUGUAUGAUGGUAAGAACAAAGUGAAUUUGCAGCAACUAAAUUAUUUUACGGGUCCCAUAAACGAUUUUUUCAAGGGUCCUAUAAACUUGAUGUUUUAUACUUAGUAAAAUGAAAUACCUUGCGGCGUAGUGAAGAUUCAGCUUACUGUGGUCCAGCCUCAUUCCCAGGCCUGGCACUUUGUUGUUGAUCUUCAAAUAAAUAGCCUCAUCAGGCUGAACUCGUAUAACAAGUUCGUUUGUAGCCCGAUCAAGAUCAGUUCCAAUAUUCCUAUUGUACAGAUUGCCUGGCACAUGCCUGAACUGCACCCGAAUCUCAGCUCUGAACCCAAAAGCACAAAAUAGUAAAGUAGUUAUAAAAAAAUAUUAUAUAUAUUGAGGUAUACAUCGGUGACAGUGACGUUAAACUAACAAAAUAUAUAUAAGCAAAUUUAUUCCGACAACUUACCCCUUGUUAUGUAACGCUUUCCCAGCUUUCAUCAAAAAAGGAACCCCAUCCCAUCUUGCAUUAUCUAUGAAGAGGGCAGCUGCCGCAAAUGUUGGAGUUAAGCUGUUCUUUGGUACAGUUUUGUCAUCGGUGUAGGCUGGAUAUGUAACACCUCUCUGACAAAUCAGAUAAAGUGACACAUGGAGUGACACACUUUUUGGGAUAGAAGAUGUGCUCCCCUCGAUCCCCAACCCUUUAAUAGCAACAAGAAAGGGAGAGAAAAAAUAAGAAAAAGUAAUGAUCUCAGUGCUUUAUUACACUGCUUUGAUGCUUUAUUCAUGUAUGCCUCAUACCUGUCUUCCAGGGAAUUAAGUAACCAUGCCAAAGCAUGAAAAAAUAAUUCACUCCAAUAUGUAACUGACAAUCGACGACAUGAACCUUAGCUAACAUCUGAGGUUAAUCAUAAAAAGCGAUAUUCUAGUGUACGAGGCUCCCACCUAAUGAGGUUGAUUAUAAUUGUAACAAAAAUUCGGUAUCAGUGGUCCACGUCUAGUCCAAGGUCACCCCAGCGUACCUUGUACUUGGCUGCAAGAUAAUGCGCGCCAACAGGACCGCGACUACCAUAUGGAUAGUAUUCUGGGAUUAUCUUUUUC